RNAcentral lists this ribosomal RNA (253 nucleotides) under uncultured bacterium. RNAcentral describes it as "partial 16S ribosomal RNA". It matches the Rfam family "Bacterial small subunit ribosomal RNA", at positions 524 to 776 of the family's 1533-position model. The record is from RNAcentral.
GACGGAGGGUGCUAGCGUUGUUCGGAUUUACUGGGCGUAAAGGGCGCGUAGGCGGCCUGGUCAGUCGGGUGUGAAAGCCCGGGGCUCAACCCCGGAACGGCACCCGAGACGGCCAGGCUGGAGACCGGGAGAGGAGGGUGGAAUAGCCAGUGUAGAGGUGAAAUUCGUAGAUAUUGGCUGGAACACCGGUGGCGAAAGCGGCUCUCUGGCCCGGUUCUGACGCUGAGGCGCGAAAGCUAGGGGAGCGAACAGG